Molecule: long non-coding RNA, 3475 nt
Filed under: Homo sapiens (human)
Lineage: Eukaryota; Metazoa; Chordata; Mammalia; Primates; Hominidae
Description: non-protein coding LINC01813:3
Source: RNAcentral
AAUACAGGAGACCUUGCAAAGCAGUGUUUGAUAGAUCCCAUUUGGUGGGGUAGAAAUAUCACUCUUAGCUAAGAACCACAAACCAUUUUCAGAAUUCAUAAAUGGAAAAGUUCUUUCAAGAACAAUAUGAAGAAUAUUCCUAAUCCAGUGGCUCCACAUGCAAACUUUGCCUCCUGACCACCCAAGGCAUCAUUUUAGUCAACUACAUCUCCUUCUGGAGCCUAACUUUAGAAAAUGCUUCCCACAUUGUCUCUUUUAGAAGACAAUUUUGAUACAUGAUGUUAGAGGAAACAACUACCUCAACAAGUUUGAAACUCCUUCUAGAAAUUGCUCAGCAGCAACACAUACUGCUUUUCCAGUAAAAGCUCCUAUUUGACAAAGGCGAAACUCCUUGGCCCCACCUGGUGGUUGCUGAAUCCAGCAAAUUCACCUUUUGCAUUUAAGACCCUAUCAGAAGCUGUACUUUGUCCUUUGACAUCUAUGGAGUUAUAGACAUUGAAUCUCCUUCGAUGAUGAAGUGAGGUCUCAUUCCAAGUGCUUAAGAUAAUGAAACCUGUAUGAGGACAGAUGAUGCAACAUCAGCAAUUUUUGCAGUGCUAUGAAUUUCAGGUGGCGUCUUAAUUCGAAGUAGGUUACAAGAUAAAAUACGUGAAAAAGAUACUCCAAAUUUAAAACAGGACUUUCAUGCAAUAAGCAUAAAUGCUUCCUCUCUAAGUUAAGAUCUGGGGCAUAGUCUGUAAAUUUUAGAUGCACGUUUUCCUCUUGGAUACCAAUUUCUGACUAUAGUAAACCAAUAAUUCUGAGGGCUCUGAUUAAACAUAUUGAACCUAGCAAAUAUUUGUACUUCCCUCUCUUAAACCCAUUGAAAUGAUAGUAAAGAUAUGCAAAAGGAUAGGAUAUGAAUAGGUGAAAUAAUUAGGAAAUUCUCUUAAAAAUGCAUGGCAUAUGGGAUUACACUAACAGAUAAAAUAGAACAGAGAAAAAUAACUAUUCAGAGUACAAGAGAAGCCGCAAGAGAAGCUGCAGUGAAGGUGGAAUCUGUUACUCUAUGAAGAGACCCCUGGCAUUGGGAACCUGAAAGAGAGCAGACACUAAUAAUGCAUCUGGCUAAAGAAUCUGUUGGCUGGCUUUUGGGUGGUGCAUAAUGAAGAACGUUUAUGUUUCCGACUUCAAUAAGAAAAAUUAAGGGAAACUAGAAAUUCCAGGAAAAGGAAAAUGCUGUACAAAAAUUCAUGACGAAAAUAUGAAGCAUUAUUAUAGGAAAUUUAUGGAGUCUAAGAAAAGAAAAUCUUGACUUAGAACUUGAAAUAUUCUACUUUAAGUAGAUCUGAUUUAAGAAUAUAAAUUAUAUCUCCUCUACAGCUGCACUCUGGUUCUGCAGUGAAUAAUAUUGAACAAUAUCAUAAUAUUAUAAAUGAUGUUUAUCUAUUUUUGCUUCUCUGAAUCAAUGUAUAGACAAAGCGAUGAAUACUUAAUUAAAAUUUCCAUUCAGAAUGUAAAUGUUUUAAACCUUGGCAAUAUAAAAGUAGUGGUAGAAAUGAUGAACAGUAGGAGUUAGAGGUGGGAAGGAGAGAUGGGAGAGCGUGUAGGAGUGACCGACUCCAUAUCAUACACCAUGAUAUGUCUGAAGUUGACAGAACAAGAAAUAAAAGUCAAAAAUAUUAUUUAAAGUAUAAACAAUAGAAGAACAAAAAGAAAAAAUGGGAGCAGAUACAGGGAAAAACGAAGCAGAGUAGUUGCUAUGAGCUGAAAUAGUAAUCUUUUACAGCAAAGAGUUAAAAGACAAGCUUAAGUUGGUAAGAUAAGAAAUAGAUAUUAAUGUUGUAUGAAACAGAUACUUCGAGUUAUAGUGAUAAUCCCUGGAAGAGCUAAAGACAGAAAACAUCAUGGGUGGCAGCCUCUUGAGAACCAGGCUAUGGAUAGUGGAACUAGACACACUUUUCAUCUGGCACCCUUAUUUUUUAUUGAAAUUUUAUUUCCAUGAGCAUGUACUUCUGAAAUUCUGAUUAGCAUGCUGACAUUAUAACAUCCCAAGUUUUGAACCUUUUUGAUUUUCUAAUCCUCAACCGAUGAGGCAGUGACUGUAUGUAAUGAUCAAAGCUUGACAGCAGGUUAAAUUUCCAUGGUCUUCAACUCUAAGGUGAGUGGCCCCUCUCUAGAGCUCUCCAAGUCUGACAUAUAUUGCCUUCAGAACUGUAGAAGCAAACGUUUCUGAACUAUUUCCAACUACCUACUUGCCUGUCCUUCCAAGAUUACCAGUUUUCUGUGGAUGUCAUCUUCUCUUACAACCAAGCAUCAUAAAUCCCUCAUAGAUCUCCUUCAUGAGGUGUGCUGUUCAAGUCCGAGAAUGCCUCACUUUUAAUGAUCAAAAAAGAAAAAGCUGACAGAACUGAAAUCUUGACAAUAGGAACUUUCAACUUUCAGCUCUAGCAGAGGGUAUUAAUUUCACUUCUGGAGCACUCAUAAUCUAAGAAACUUCUGGAUCCUAAUGACAAGGAUGGAAACAACAGUUAUUAAAUCCCAUAAAUAUCCCCUCUGCCUAAUUAUAUAGCAAAGCCAAAUGCUGAAGAACCACAGGAUAAAAUAUAAUGCUAUGCAUUCCACUUCCAGAGAUAUGAAGCUGCCAUUUUUUCCUUCACUCUCUGUCUUCGUCCAGCCUCCAAGCACACCCCUAGCUUCACUUGACCUUACUUGGUUCAACAUAUCCCCAGGAUCACUUCACUUUGCUUGCUUUAACAUGUUUUCAUACCAUGUCACCUUACUUGCUUUAGCACAUAAUACUGACAGAUGAAUAAAAUGAAAACUGCAGCUGAAAUGAUCAAAACUGCUUAAAGGAAAAAGAUGCUGAAGUUUGCCAUAGUAAGAAAAAAAAGAGCAUAAAUUUUGAAGUAAUACAAAGCUGUCAUAGGGUUUCAAACUAGGAAGUUCAAGUACCUUGGGUAAGGUCACACAGCUUGCAAAUAUUAGAGUCCAGCCCACAGUUGUUUUCUUAAGUAAAUAAUGAUUAGGCAUAAGGGAGAUGAUCAUCCUCGAACCUAAAAAUCUACUACAAACUUAAUGAAUAUUGCCUGGCCUGAAAAUUGAUGAUGCCACAAACUUUUUUCUACAUAUUGGCAAAUUUCUACUGAGGUUUAUUCUAAGCCUUGAUGGGGUACUUAAGUUCAGGAAAAUAAAAAUAUGGAUUUUUUUCCUCAUAUAAACCACAAAGAGAUUGGGACAAAAAUCAUUCCAUCUAAUUACACCAAUCACUAAGAAGAGUAAAUAUAAGAGUGUUUUAUUUCUGAAAAAUUAGAAUUAUUUUAAAGGUAACCUAUUUUGAUUCCAACAUUACAGAAUUAACAUAAAGUAUAUAUUCCCUAAAACACAUCAAACUUUUAUCCAGUUGUACUCUUCUUUAUAUAGCUAAAUGUGAAAAUGUAAAAUGUAUUAAUUAUUAAGGGGUGCAGUAAAAAAAAUUAAAACAAUGCCUUAAAUC